RNAcentral lists this ribosomal RNA (2086 nucleotides) under Trachelomonas sp. Jakeun081409A. Lineage: Eukaryota; Euglenozoa; Euglenophyceae; Euglenales; Euglenaceae. The record is from RNAcentral.
UGCUUACCAUGCAGUUGACGUUUUUACGAAAGUAAGAAAGUAACGGACGGGUGAGUAAUAUGUAAGAAUUAACGUUUAGGUAAGGGAUAACAUGUGGAAACAUAUGCUAAUACCUUGUAUCGCAAUUAUUGUGAAAGAUUUUCGUCUAGACAUAAGCUUGCAUUUGAUUAGCUUGUUGGUAAGGUAAAGGCUUACCAAGGCUUUGAUCAAUAGCUAAUUUGAGAGGAUGAUUAGCCACAUUGGGACUGAGACACGGAACAGACUCCUACGGGAGGCAGCAGUGAGGAAUAUUCCGCAAUGGGUGAAAGCCUGACGGAGCAAUACCGCGUGGAGGAAGAAGGCCUUUGGGUUGUAAUCUCCUUUUCUCAUUGAAGAAUCUAUGACGGUAAUUGAGGAAUAAGCAUCGGCUAACUUCGUGCCAGCAGCGUGUGACAAGAGGUUUACACCUUCGUGAACAUAUGUAUUCUCUAUGAAUAUUGUAGUUCCGAAAAAUCAAAUAUAUAACAAAGCUUAGGUAGAAAGUGCUCCUUCGAUCUGAUAAUGUAGGUUUGUUAGUCGAAUCGAUGUUAUAAGCCAGAUCAGCAAGUAAAAUUAGAGAUCGUAUAAUUUUACUGGAAGGAUGUUUACUAGUAUAAGAUUAGAAGGUAAAUACCCAACGAACCUAUGAAUAAAAUACCGAAUCACGGAGUCUGCAACACGAUUUGAUCCGAAAGGAUUAAAGUAGGCGUUAUAAUGCGAUGGCAUAUCUGUUUGUGGGCAUUACUGCGUGUCCAUGCUACUAACAAGCCAUAGGUAUAGAAUAGGGAUCUUAUGUUAGGUUAUACUAUAUAUAUUUGGAACUUGGAAAAGCCAAAUUUGUGCUGAGAAAUCAGAAUAGACUAAUCUAAAGAAUUUGGAAUAAGAUGGAGGAUGAAAGCGAAAGGCAAACCAGUAAUGGGUUAUUGAAAAGGUUGGAUGUAGCGUCCUGCAUAUGCUGAAAUUCUUCGUGAGGGGUCUUUAAUUAAUUAAACGGACCUAGCAACUAUUGGUUUCUUAAGGAACUAAAAGGCUAAUAUACCUCAAGUAGCCGUAUGAAGGGUAACUUUCACGUACGGUUUCGAAUGAGAAGUGAUCAAAGUAAUUUGACAUUGACUCUCUAAUCGCGGUAAUACGGGGGAUGCAAGCGUUAUCCGGAAUUAUUGGGCUUAAAGCGUUUGUAGGUGGUUUAAUGUGUUUGAUGUUAAAUCUUGAAGCUUAACUUCAAUAUUGCGUUGAAAACUAUUAGACUUGAAUAUUAUAGGGGUAAAGGGAAUUCUUAGUGUAGCGGUGAAAUGCAUAGAUAUUAGGAAGAACACCAAUGGCGAAAGCACUUUACUAGGUUAAUUAUUGACACUGAGAAACGAGAGCUAAGGGAGCAAAUUGGAUUAGAUACCCAAGUAGUCUUAGCUGUAAAUGAUGGCAAUUAAGUGGAGCUUUUCUGUUCUGCUGUAGUGAAAACGUUAAAUUGCCCGCCUGGGGAGUAUGCUUGCAAAAGUGAAACUCAAAGGAAUUGACGGGGGCUCGCACAAGCGGUGGAGCAUGUGGUUUAAUUCGAAGAUACGCGAAGAAUCUUACCUGGGCUUGACAUGUUAGGAAGUUUUUAAAAAGAAAAUGUGCCAAUUGGAACCUAAACACAGGUGGUGCAUGGCUGUCGUCAGCUCGUGUUGUGAAAUGUUGGGUUAAGUCCUAUAACGAGCGCAACCCUCUUUUUUAGUUAUUUUUUGAAAUUCUAGAAAUACUGCCAACUAUAAGUUGGAGGAAGGUGAGGAUGAGGUCAAGUCAUCAUGCCCCUUAUGUCCAGGGCUACACACGUGCUACAAUGUUUAAAACAAUGAGUCGCAAGCCUGCGAAGGUUAGCUAAUCUCUUAAAUAUAAACUAAGUUCGGAUUGUAGGCUGCAACUCGCCUACAUGAAGGUGGAAUCGCUAGUAAUCGCCAAUCAGAAUGUGGCGGUGAAUACGUUCUCGGGCCUUGUACACACCGCCCGUCACGUCGAGAAAGCUGGCUGUACUCGAAGAGAUUAUUUAUUUUUAAAGUAUAAUUAGUGAUUUCGACGAAGUCGUACAAGG